AGUCGAACGGGCUCUUCGGAGCUAGUGGCAGACGGGUGAGUAACGCGUGGGAACCUACCUAUAAGUACGGAACAACACAGAGAAAUUUGUGCUAAUACCGUAUGUGCUCUUUGGAGUAAAGAUUUAUCGCUUAUAGAUGGGCCCGCGUUAGAUUAGCUAGUUGGUGAGGUAAUGGCUCACCAAGGCGACGAUCUAUAGCUGGUCUGAGAGGAUGAUCAGCCACACUGGGACUGAGACACGGCCCAGACUCCUACGGGAGGCAGCAGUGAGGAAUAUUGGACAAUGGGGGCAACCCUGAUCCAGCCAUGCCGCGUGAGUGAUGACGGCCUUAGGGUUGUAAAGCUCUUUCGCUAGGGAAGAUAAUGACGGUACCUAGUAAAGAAGCCCCGGCUAACUUCGUGCCAGCAGCCGCGGUAAUACGAAGGGGGCUAGCGUUGUUCGGAAUCACUGGGCGUAAAGCGCGCGUAGGCGGCUAGGUCAGUCAGAUGUGAAAGCCCCGGGCUUAACCUGGGAAUUGCAUCUGAUACUGCUUGGCUAGAGUACAGAAGAGGGUGGUGGAAUUUCCUGUGUAGCGGUGAAAUGCGUAGAUAUAGGAAGGAACAUCAGUGGCGAAGGCGGCCACCUG
Molecule: ribosomal RNA, 625 nt
Filed under: uncultured bacterium
Lineage: Bacteria
Description: bacterial SSU rRNA
Rfam family: Bacterial small subunit ribosomal RNA
Source: RNAcentral